UACAGAGGGGGCAAGCGUUGUUCGGAAUCACUGGGCGUAAAGGGCGUGUAGGCGGUCCGCUAAGUCUGAUGUGAAAGCCCGGGGCUCACCCCCGGAAGUGCAUCGGAAACUGGCGGACUCGAGUCCCGGAGAGGAGAGUGGAAUUCCUGGUGUAGCGGUGAAAUGCGUAGAUAUCAGGAGGAACACCGGUGGCGAAGGCGGCUCUCUGGACGGUGACUGACGCUGAGACGCGAAAGCGUGGGGAGCAAACAGG
Molecule: ribosomal RNA, 253 nt
Filed under: uncultured bacterium
Lineage: Bacteria
Description: partial 16S ribosomal RNA
Rfam family: Bacterial small subunit ribosomal RNA
Source: RNAcentral